Molecule: ribosomal RNA, 495 nt
Filed under: uncultured Desulfobulbus sp.
Lineage: Bacteria; Pseudomonadati; Thermodesulfobacteriota; Desulfobulbia; Desulfobulbales; Desulfobulbaceae
Description: bacterial SSU rRNA
Rfam family: Bacterial small subunit ribosomal RNA
Source: RNAcentral
CUCAGAAACUUAAAGGAAUUGACGGGGCCCGGCACAAGCGGUGGAGUAUGUGGUUAAUUCGAUGCAACGCGAAGAACCUUACCUGGUCUUGACAUCCCGGAGACCCUUAGGAAACUAGGGGGUGCUUCCAUCUGGAAGAAUCUGGAGACAGGUGCUGCAUGGCUGUCGUCAGCUCGUGUCGUAAGAUGUUGGGUUAAGUCCCGCAACGAGCGCAACCCUUGCCUUUAGUUGCCAGCAGUUCGGCUGGGCACUCUAAAGGGACUGCCGGUGUUAAACCGGAGGAAGGUGGGGAUGACGUCAAGUCCUCAUGGCCUUUAUGACCAGGGCUACACACGUACUACAAUGGCCGAUACAAAGGGCAGCGACACUGCGAGGUGAAGCCAAUCCCGUAAAAUCGGUCUCAGUCCGGAUUGGAGUCUGCAACUCGACUCCAUGAAGUUGGAAUCGCUAGUAAUCGUGGAUCAGCAUGCCACGGUGAAUACGUUCCCGGGCCUU